This 428-nucleotide long non-coding RNA is filed under the name Homo sapiens (human). Its description in RNAcentral is "non-protein coding lnc-PLEKHM1-8:1". The record is from RNAcentral. Lineage: Eukaryota; Metazoa; Chordata; Mammalia; Primates; Hominidae.
GCCCGCGGCUCCCUCUGCGGAGCGCUGCGCCCCGGCCCCGCCGCCGCUGCCGCUGCCCACGUCCGGACCCAUCCGGGGUUCCGCUCGCGGCAACGCGGUAGCAGCCCGGGCAGGUGGGUCGCCGCCAGGCUGAGGUGGCGCCCAAGACGCGCCUGAGCUCGCCCAGGAUGGGCAGCAGUAGCCGGAGAAAGCCGCCGCCGCCGGCCCCACCCCAGCACCAGCGCCCCGGCCGGGGGGAGGCGGGGGCAGCCACCUGGCCCGGACGGCUGCGGUCUGGAGGGCUGUCAACAAAGUGGUGUAGGAGGACGCCAGUUACUGCACGGAAAGCAGCGUCAGGAGCCAUAGUACCUACAGCAGCACUCCAGAAAUUUCCAAGGAAACUAUAUUUCUUACAUUGAUGGAAAUGUAUGGAAAGCAUACAGUUGGAC